UCGUCAGCUCGUGUCGUGAGAUGUUGGGUUAAGUCCCGCAACGAGCGCAACCCCUAUUGUUAGUUGCCAUCAUUCAGUUGGGCACUCUAGCGAGACUGCCGGUAAUAAACCGGAGGAAGGUGGGGAUGACGUCAAAUCAUCAUGCCCCUUAUGACCUGGGCUACACACGUGCUACAAUGGUUGGUACAACGAGUUGCGAGUCGGUGACGGCGAGCUAAUCUCUUAAAGCCAAUCUCAGUUCGGAUUGUAGGCUGCAACUCGCCUACACGAAGUCGGAAUCGCUAGUAAUCGCGGAUCAGCACGCCGCGGUGAAUACGUUCCCGGGCCUU
This 329-nucleotide ribosomal RNA is filed under the name uncultured Streptococcus sp. RNAcentral's name for it is "bacterial SSU rRNA". It matches the Rfam family "Bacterial small subunit ribosomal RNA", at positions 1052 to 1382 of the family's 1533-position model. Lineage: Bacteria; Bacillati; Bacillota; Bacilli; Lactobacillales; Streptococcaceae. The record is from RNAcentral.